UUCAUGAAACGCCAAACCUCCUGCGAAGGGGGGACGGAAUGCUGCGGGUCUUGAAAAAGAUGGCCGGGCUGCCACG
Molecule: non-coding RNA, 76 nt
Filed under: Geobacteraceae bacterium
Lineage: Bacteria; Pseudomonadati; Thermodesulfobacteriota; Desulfuromonadia; Geobacterales; Geobacteraceae
Description: c-di-GMP sequence
Rfam family: c-di-GMP-I riboswitch aptamer
About the family: GEMM was predicted in a large-scale screen for bacterial structured RNA regulatory elements. Genes associated with GEMM are involved in a diverse array of functions, including chemotaxis regulation, signal transduction, secretion and chitin.
Source: RNAcentral